UACGGAGGGUGCAAGCGUUAUCCGGAUUCACUGGGUUUAAAGGGUGCGUAGGAGGGCAGGUAAGUCAGUGGUGAAAUCCCCAAGCUUAACCUGGGAACUGCCGUUGAUACUAUCUGUCUUGAAUACCGUGGAGGUGAGCGGAAUAUGUCAUGUAGCGGUGAAAUGCUUAGAUAUGACAUAGAACACCAAUUGCGAAGGCAGCUCACUGGCUCGGUACUGACGCUGAGGUGCGAAAGCGUGGGGAGCAAACAGG
Molecule: ribosomal RNA, 253 nt
Filed under: uncultured bacterium
Lineage: Bacteria
Description: partial 16S ribosomal RNA
Rfam family: Bacterial small subunit ribosomal RNA
Source: RNAcentral